Arachis ipaensis is the source of this 900-nucleotide non-coding RNA. Lineage: Eukaryota; Viridiplantae; Streptophyta; Magnoliopsida; Fabales; Fabaceae. The record is from RefSeq and is a predicted model, not a curated record.
ACUUUGAAUAAGAUAGUGAAGGAACUAUCAAGAAAAAUAUUUUGAAAAGUAUGGGGAAGUCUUGGAAGGAAGCAAGGCUAAGGUUGUAUGGUGAUUUUUAUGAGCCAACAUUCAUGAUGGAACAAAAUAUUGAGCAGCAUCCGCCGGGAAUUGAUCGAGAGCAUUGGAGAUGGUUCCUUGAGUAUCACGCCAAAGCUGAGAUGAAGGAGAAGUGUAGAAAAAAAAACGCGAUUAAUCGAUCAAAAUAACUAUAUACCCACACUGGCGGAUCGAAAAGCUUUGCACGGCGGAUGGAAGAAGAGUCGGAACAACAAGGAAGAAGAGUCGGUAGAGGAGAGUUAUGGAUCACAGUGCACAAAAAAAAGGAUGGCUCCUAUAUAUAUGAGGAAGCAAGAGCAAUUGGUGUAAGUACUACUUAUUAUAAUUGAUCAAUAAAGUUAUGAUCUCAAAUAGGGUUAUAGUCGACUUCUCUAUUUUAUUUUGUUUUUCAUUUCUUUACUGAAUGGUUUACUCCCCUAUGUCAAGAUGGACCAAAAGAACUUUACUAUUUCCAAUUCACCUUACUUUUAAUUAUUGUUACAAAUUUACCUUGCUAUGUUUCUAGACAUUUUCAACUUCGAUGUAACUUAGAGACAGUUGGGGUAGAAUUUAAAUGAUUCAGUUUCACUUAUCCUUUAUUUCUUUUUAUAGUGGUUGGCAUCCUAUGAAACAAAUGCUCUAUUUUAGUUGUUUUACGUUGUUAUCUUUUGAGCCCCAAUUUUUAUCGUAACAUUUGUGUGUGUUUUACUGUGAUGAAAGUGAUAUAAUUAAUGUUCCUAUUUGGCGUGUUCUUGACAUGAGAUGGACCUAUCCACAAAAUGAUUGUAUGUGCUAAUUUGUGACUGUAGGAAAGAAUUGAGG